AGAGUUUGAUCCUGGCUCAGGACGAACGCUGGCGGCGUGGAUUAGGCAUGCAAGUCGAACGGUAUGGUGCUUUCGGGCAUCAGAGAGCGGCGAACGGGUGAGUAACACGUAGGUGAUCUACCCUCAAGACGGGGACAACCCAGGGAAACUUGGGCUAAUACCGGAUGAUAGCAGCAGUGAUGUUGUUUAAAAGAUGGCUUUCGGGCUGUCGUUUGGGGAUGAGCCUGCGUCCUAUUAGCUAGUUGGUGUGGUAAAGGCACACCAAGGCGAUGAUAGGUAGGCGGCCUUAACGGGUGGUCGCCCACACUGGGAUUGAGAUACGGCCCAGACUCCUACGGGAGGCAGCAGUCGAGAAUAGUCUACAAUGGUCGGAAGACUGAUAGUGCGACGCCGCGUGAACGAGGAAGCCCUUCGGGGUGUAAAGUUCUUUUAUAUGUGAGCAGUGGGUUCUACGUUAAUAGCGUGGGAUCAGGGAUAUUAGCAUAUGAAUAAGCAACGGCUAACUCCGUGCCAGCAGCCGCGGUAACACGGGGGUUGCGAGCGUUGUCCGGAAUUACUAGGCGUAAAGGGCAGGUAGGCGGAUCUAUAAGUUUUUUGUCAAAUUCAACGGCUCACCCGUUGCUCGGCAGGAGAUACUGUAGAUCUGGAAUGCGGUUGGGGAAGACAGAAUUCCUGGUGUAGCGGUGGAAUGCGCAGAGAUCAGGAGGAAUACCUAAGGCGAAGGCAGUCUUCUAAGCCGUAAUUGACGCUAAACUGCGAAGGUGUGGGUAUCAAACAGGAUUAGAUACCCUGGUAGUCCACACAGUAAACGAUAAUCACUGGGUGUCGGGUUCGUAGAGGAUUCGGUGCCGUAGCUAACGCGAUAAGUGAUUCGCCUGGGGAGUACGAUCGCAAGGUUGAAACUCAAAUGAAUUGACGG
This 919-nucleotide ribosomal RNA is filed under the name uncultured bacterium. RNAcentral describes it as "bacterial SSU rRNA". It matches the Rfam family "Bacterial small subunit ribosomal RNA", at positions 8 to 916 of the family's 1533-position model. The record is from RNAcentral.